GAUGAACGCUGGCGGCGUGCCUAAUACAUGCAAGUCGAGCGAACAGACGAGGAGCUUGCUCCUCUGACGUUAGCGGCGGACGGGUGAGUAACACGUGGAUAACCUACCUAUAAGGCUGGGAUAACUUCGGGAAACCGGAGCUAAUACCGGAUAAUAUAUUGAACCGCAUGGUUCAAUAGUGAAAGACGGUUUUGCUGUCACUUAUAGAUGGAUCCGCGCCGCAUUAGCUAGUUGGUAAGGUAACGGCUUACCAAGGCAACGAUGCGUAGCCGACCUGAGAGGGUGAUCGGCCACACUGGAACUGAGACACGGUCCAGACUCCUACGGGAGGCAGCAGUAGGGAACCUUCCGCAAUGGGCGAAAGCCUGACGGAGCAACGCCGCGUGAGUGAUGAAGGUCUUCGGAUCGUAAAACUCUGUUAUUAGGGAAGAACAAAUGUGUAAGUAACUAUGCACGUCUUGACGGUACCUAAUCAGAAAGCCACGGCUAACUACGUG
This 497-nucleotide ribosomal RNA is filed under the name uncultured bacterium. RNAcentral describes it as "partial 16S ribosomal RNA". It matches the Rfam family "Bacterial small subunit ribosomal RNA", at positions 28 to 507 of the family's 1533-position model. The record is from RNAcentral.